AGAGCGAACGCUGGCGGCAGGCUUAACACAUGCAAGUCGAGCGGGCGUAGCAAUACGUCAGCGGCAGACGGGUGAGUAACGCGUGGGAACAUACCUUUUGGUUCGGAACAACACAGGGAAACUUGUUCUAAUACCGGAUAAGCCCUUACGGGGGAAAGAUUUAUCGCCGAAAGAUUGGCCCGCGUCUGAUUAGCUAGUUGGUGAGGUAACGGCUCACCAAGGCGACGAUCAGUAGCUGGUCUGAGAGGAUGAUCAGCCACAUUGGGACUGAGACACGGCCCAAACUCCUACGGGAGGCAGCAGUGGGGAAUAUUGGACAAUGGGCGCAGGCCUGAUCCAGCCAUGCCGCGUGAGUGAUGAAGGCCCUAGGGUUGUAAAGCUCUUUUGUGCGGGAAGAUAAUGACGGUACCGCAAGAAUAAGCCCGGCUAACUUCGCGCCAGCAGCCGC
RNAcentral lists this ribosomal RNA (448 nucleotides) under uncultured bacterium. RNAcentral's name for it is "SSU rRNA". It matches the Rfam family "Bacterial small subunit ribosomal RNA", at positions 26 to 518 of the family's 1533-position model. The record is from RNAcentral.